Molecule: ribosomal RNA, 497 nt
Filed under: uncultured bacterium
Lineage: Bacteria
Description: partial 16S ribosomal RNA
Rfam family: Bacterial small subunit ribosomal RNA
Source: RNAcentral
GAUGAACGCUGGCGGCGUGCCUAAUACAUGCAAGUCGAGCGAACAGACGAGGAGCUUGCUCCUCUGACGUUAGCGGCGGACGGGUGAGUAACACGUGGAUAACCUACCUAUAAGACUGGGAUAACUUCGGGAAACCGGAGCUAAUACCGGAUAAUAUAUUGAACCGCAUGGUUCAAUAGUGAAAGACGGUUUUGCUGUCACUUAUAGAUGGAUCCGCGCCGCAUUAGCUAGUUGGUAAGGUAACGGCUUACCAAGGCAACGAUGCAUAGCCGACCUGAGAGGGUGAUCGGCCAAACUGGAACUGAGACACGGUCCAGACUCCUACGGGAGGCAGCAGUAGGGAAUCUUCCGCAAUGGGCGAAAGCCUGACGGAGCAACGCCGCGUGAGUGAUGAAGGUCUUCGGAUCGUAAAACUCUGUUAUUAGGGAAGAACAAAUGUGUAAGUAACUAUGCACGUCUUGACGGUACCUAAUCAGAAAGCCACGGCUAACUACGUG